UGGGGAAUUUUGGACAAUGGGGGAAACCCUGAUCCAGCCAUCCCGCGUGUGCGAUGACGGCCUUCGGGUUGUAAAGCACUUUUGGCAGGAAAGAAACGUCAUGGGUUAAUACCCCGUGAAACUGACGGUACCUGCAGAAUAAGCACCGGCUAACUACGUGCCAGCAGCCGCGGUAAUACGUAGGGUGCAAGCGUUAAUCGGAAUUACUGGGCGUAAAGCGUGCGCAGGCGGUUCGGAAAGAAAGAUGUGAAAUCCCAGAGCUCAACUUUGGAACAGCAUUUUUAACUACCGGGCUAGAGUGUGUCAGAGGGAGGUGGAAUUCCGCGUGUAGCAGUGAAAUGCGUAGAUAUGCGGAGGAACACCGAUGGCGAAGGCAGCCUCCUGGGAUAACACUGACGCUCAUGCACGAAAGCGUGGGGAGCAAACAGG
This 429-nucleotide ribosomal RNA is filed under the name Acidobacteriota bacterium. RNAcentral describes it as "Acidobacteria bacterium partial 16S ribosomal RNA". It matches the Rfam family "Bacterial small subunit ribosomal RNA", at positions 355 to 776 of the family's 1533-position model. Lineage: Bacteria; Pseudomonadati; Acidobacteriota. The record is from RNAcentral.